Molecule: long non-coding RNA, 347 nt
Filed under: Elaeis guineensis (African oil palm)
Lineage: Eukaryota; Viridiplantae; Streptophyta; Magnoliopsida; Arecales; Arecaceae
Description: long non-coding RNA (EGUI_LNC045634)
Source: RNAcentral
CCGUUAUUAAACCCCUGUUGUUGAACGAAUUCUUCCUUGAGCCCCCUUUGAAACGAUGGGGAUCCUCAGCGGCCACUUGAUGACCGGAGAACUCAUCGGCCGCUGUUCUCCUCCUCGCCUUCCUCCAAGCCCUGGACAUCCCUUCGAGGAUGGCCUCCGGGGUGGAGGACAUGACGUGGAAACCCCUUAGAGAAGAAUCGAGGGGCUGAAGAUGGCAAGGACCGGUGCGGAGGAAGUGGCUGAGUAGCUAGGCUCUCAGACGAAAGAAAGGUGCCGUCCUCUCGGCAGGAUGAAGCCCCGAAGGAAGAGUAGGGGGUUUAAAUAGCCAACGGAUCUUAGCGCAGUUA